This 571-nucleotide ribosomal RNA is filed under the name Salmonella enterica. RNAcentral describes it as "partial 23S ribosomal RNA". It matches the Rfam family "Bacterial large subunit ribosomal RNA", at positions 711 to 1278 of the family's 2925-position model. Lineage: Bacteria; Pseudomonadati; Pseudomonadota; Gammaproteobacteria; Enterobacterales; Enterobacteriaceae. The record is from RNAcentral.
AGACCCGAAACCCGGUGAUCUAGCCAUGGGCAGGUUGAAGGUUGGGUAACACUAACUGGAGGACCGAACCGACUAAUGUUGAAAAAUUAGCGGAUGACCUGUGGCUGGGGGUGAAAGGCCAAUCAAACCGGGAGAUAGCUGGUUCUCCCCGAAAGCUAUUUAGGUAGCGCCUCGUGAAUUCAUCUCCGGGGGUAGAGCACUGUUUCGGCUAGGGGGCCAUCCCGGCUUACCAACCCGAUGCAAACUGCGAAUACCGGAGAAUGUUAUCACGGGAGACACACGGCGGGUGCUAACGUCCGUCGUGAAGAGGGAAACAACCCAGACCGCCAGCUAAGGUCCCAAAGUCAUGGUUAAGUGGGAAACGAUGUGGGAAGGCCCAGACAGCCAGGAUGUUGGCUUAGAAGCAGCCAUCAUUUAAAGAAAGCGUAAUAGCUCACUGGUCGAGUCGGCCUGCGCGGAAGAUGUAACGGGGCUAAACCAUGCACCGAAGCUGCGGCAGCGACGCUGAUGCGUUGUUGGGUAGGGGAGCGUUCUGUAAGCCUGUGAAGGUGGCCUGUGAGGGUUGCUGGAG